RNAcentral lists this ribosomal RNA (467 nucleotides) under uncultured bacterium. RNAcentral's name for it is "partial 16S ribosomal RNA". It matches the Rfam family "Bacterial small subunit ribosomal RNA", at positions 28 to 506 of the family's 1533-position model. The record is from RNAcentral.
GACGAACGCUGGCGGCGUGCUUAACACAUGCAAGUCGAACGGAAAGGCCCUGCUUUUGUGGAGUGCUCGAGUGGCGAACGGGUGAGUAACACGGGAGUAACCUGCCCUUGACUUUGGGAUAACUUCAGGAAACUGGGGCUAAUACCGGAUAGGAGCUCCUGCUGCAGGGUGGGGGUUGGAAAGUUUCGGCGGUUGGGGAUGGACUCGCGGCUUAUCAGCUUGUUGGUGGGGUAGUGGCUUACCAAGGCUUUGACGGGUAGCCGGCCUGAGAGGGUGACCGGCCACAUUGGUACUGAGAUACGGCCCAGACUCCUACGGGAGGCAGCAGUGGGGAAUAUUGCACAAUGGGCGGAAGCCUGAUGCAGCAACGCCGCGUGCGGGAUGACGGCCUUCGGGUUGUAAACCGCUUUCGCCUGUGACGAAGCGUGAGUGACGGUAAUGGGUAAAGAAGCACCGGCUAACUACGU